Molecule: long non-coding RNA, 1281 nt
Filed under: Phasianus colchicus (ring-necked pheasant)
Lineage: Eukaryota; Metazoa; Chordata; Aves; Galliformes; Phasianidae
Description: lncRNA (ENSPCLG00000000376.1)
Source: RNAcentral
AUGCCCGAAGCCAUCAGAACAGCUCCAGCCACCGCUCCCCACCCUUCACGAGCACUGCAGCAGCUGCCCCAUCCUUACCCGCAUCCCUCCUGGGGAGGGUGGGGAAACUUUCACCCGGCCCACCUUAAGAAGGCAGCAGCCGGUGUCCCGGGGGGGAGCUCCCACCCACGACUGUGCCAAGAGCCAGGCGGUGCCGGGCUGCGGGGAGCCCCGCCGCUACCGGGGCCGCUCGCGGUGUCAGGGCAACGGAGGCGGCGCUGCGGAGGGGCGGUGCGGAGCGGUGCGGAGCGGAACGGCCCCGGGGCCGCUCGGGGCCCGGCCAGGUCCGUACGAUCCGCACCGCGCUGCGGCGAAACGGGGGGUGAAAAGAGGGGGGUGGGGGAGGGGGGGGGCACGGCAGUCCUUCCUCAUCUGGGGGAUGAGAAGUGCCGUUUCCUUCUCCAUCUGCAAUUCUGCCUGGCUGCUCGGUUGGGUUUUGUUGUUGUUUUUUCCUCUCUGAAGCCGUUCUGUUCUCUGUUCUCCAGGAGGAGCCGGAGAUGGAGCCCCGUCCCCCCGCCUGGCCGCUGCUCUGCCUGCUGCUGCUCUGCCCGCCCUCCUGCCCAGGUGAGCCCGGAGCUCUCUCUGUUUUUGCUGUGUUUUUUUCCCUAUUCCCCCUUCUCCCGUCCUUCCUACUGCUCCUCUCCCCGCUCUCAACCCCGCACCGGCCGCGAUGCGGUGCCGCCGCGCUUUGCUGUGACCUUUCCAGGCGAUGACCUCCAGCGCGGGGCCCGGCUCCAUUGCUCCCAGCCGUUCAUCCAUCCCCCUCCGCAGCCACAUGCGGGAAUUAGGGACGUGAAGAGGCACGUUGCUUCCAACCCUUUGCCAGCACCCAGCCGGCUCCGGGAGAGGCGCAUCGCCCCCGGCAUUGCUGCGGAUGGGAGGAGGGCAGCUCGGCUGGGAGCUCUCUUUAAAACUCAAACCUUGUUUUUGUGGCUGCCCUCCUUCACCCCCCCCCAUCUCGUCCUUGCUCCUCACUGCUCAACAGUUGAGCUCCAGCAAAGUGGGGCUGCACCUUGUGCUGCUCACUUAGGGCAACUCCGGGUCCCCUCGGGUUCCCUGUGGCUCCUCCUGCCCUCCCUCGUGGCUUGUGGCCCCAUCGGUCCCACAGGAGAGUGCUGUGAGAAGGCACGCUCGGUGCUUACCCCGUUGUUUCCCUUCCCCUUAUGGGAGCAGGAAGUUUCUUGGCCCACCAGGAACAAAGCCCUGCGUUGGGUGCUGCUUUCAAGGAUGUUUCAUUUCUAG